CGAAGCUGCCGCAGGUUCGAGUUGAGCGCAGCGAAACAACGGAGCCGCUCGCGGCGACGGCCCGAAGGGCGAGCGAAGCGAGUCAUCCUGCACGACCCACCA
RNAcentral lists this small RNA (102 nucleotides) under Escherichia coli. RNAcentral describes it as "partial RtT sRNA". It matches the Rfam family "RtT RNA", at positions 25 to 130 of the family's 130-position model. Rfam says of the family: This family represents a bacterial cis-regulatory element known as RtT RNA. Lineage: Bacteria; Pseudomonadati; Pseudomonadota; Gammaproteobacteria; Enterobacterales; Enterobacteriaceae. The record is from RNAcentral.